Molecule: ribosomal RNA, 113 nt
Organism: Panthera pardus (leopard)
Lineage: Eukaryota; Metazoa; Chordata; Mammalia; Carnivora; Felidae
Source: Ensembl
GACAUUUGGUAGAGACUGUUGAAGCCACCUGGUCCCAGCAGACUCCAGAAGGCCACCACAUUCGCUGGUGCUGGGGCAAGGUUAUUAAGGGUAAAGCCUGGUGCCAGAUGUGU